AUGGAAGAGGAGACAACCUUUCAAGACUUGUUGGGUUUCGAGUUCUUCCUGAUCCUACUCCCGAAUUUCUUGAAGAAACUGAGGCUGCCAGACAAGUUUGCCAAGGUGCUCGACGGCCGUGAGCUUCAGGAAGUGAAGCUGAGGGAGGACGGGCGCAGGCGUCACUUGUGGGACAUGGAAGUAGUGUUGGACGCGGAGGGCCACAUGUACCUGGGGCAUGGAUGGGAGCAGUUCGCCCGUGCUCACGGCCUGCGGCUCGGGCACUUCCUCGUCAUAAGCUAUGACAGCCAUGUCGUGCUAACCGUGAAGGUGUUCGACCAGAGCAUGUGCCGCAGGCACUACCAGCACGACAACGAUGCCAGCAGUGCGAGCACCAGUGACAGUGGCAGCACCGUGCAGGGAGCAGAGGGAGAAGGGGAAGUGCCACCGCAGACAGGGGCAGAGGAAGACGAUGGGGAGCAGGUCAUAUACAAGAUGAGUAAUCCAUGCGAUUCAGAUGGAAGCCAGAAGGGAAGAUGUUAUUCUUCUGAGGAAUUGUCAGAAGACAGUCCAUCUGUAGACAAUUCUGUGGAGCCAGCUAAUCUACAGACGGUUUCGAAUAACUAUGUCAUAUCAGCGCAGUGCUAUCCUACAAAAGCACAGAAGGUGAAAAUAGACGCACUUAUAGAGAAAAUUCAACCUAAAAUCACAGUGCUAGUUGUACAGAUGAAGAAGACGAAUGCAAAACGGCAUGGCACUCUGGUAAUACAAAAGGAUUAUGCACGCGAGCACUUUCCAUGUGAAGACACAACUGUCAUACUCCAGCUGCCUGGGAAGAAAAAGCAUUGGAAAUGCACAUUCCACAUCACGCCAUCUGGCAUGCCUGAUGCAGGUCGGCGCAACCUCAAUUUGCGCAACUUUUCCUGUGACAAUCAUGUGAGUACUGGUGAUAUCUGCCUCUUUCAACCAAUGACAAAUGUUAAGCACAGAAGAUUCAGAGUGACAGUCCAUCUCCUUCACAAAGCGAGCAUUGCGCAUUACCCUGGUGGAAGAACUGACAUUGUCUCGAAUCAUGGAAGUACAAGUGCCACGAUGGGCGGUGUGAAGGAGGAACCACCUACCGAUGGUGAAGUGUACUCUUCAGAACAUGAACAAUGUAAAGUCUCUGAGGAUUCCCAGGGAGCUUCCGAGAGUCUCUUCAUCCUGGCUGACAGAGCUUGUCUAACACCAGCACAGUAUUUGAAAUGUCUGGGGAAAGUUGAGGAGAUUAAGUUCAAACCGCCCUUUUAUGUUUCUAUCGUGAGCAAGAGCAUGCGUCAGUUUCCCAUGCUAAACUUUGUCUGGCAGUACGCAGCCAGAUAUCUGCUUCAGAAGUUUGCUGCUGGCCAUCAUGAUGGAAAUAAUAGUUCAAUCAGUUUGGUGCUUCAGCGGGAGGGGAAGAGCAGAUCAUGGACUACCAAGCUGAAUUAUAGGCAUCGCACGCUAGACACGACCAACCGGAUGGGCAUUUACAAAGGAUGGGAGUCUUUUGCCCACGACAACCACCUGCGGGAGGGGGACCUCUGUCUCUUCAAGCUGAUGGAUAACGAGGAGCAGCUGACGAUGAUGGUCUACAUCGUCCGCCGCUAG
Molecule: ribosomal RNA, 1608 nt
Filed under: Triticum aestivum (bread wheat)
Lineage: Eukaryota; Viridiplantae; Streptophyta; Magnoliopsida; Poales; Poaceae
Description: partial small subunit ribosomal RNA
Source: RNAcentral